AGAGUUUGAUCAUGGCUCAGAUUGAACGCUGGCGGCAGGCCUAACACAUGCAAGUCGAGCGGAUGAAGGGAGCUUGCUCUCUGAUUUAGCGGCGGACGGGUGAGUAAUGCCUAGGAAUCUGCCUGGGAGUGGGGGAUAACGUUCCGAAAGGAACGCUAAUACCGCGUACGUCCUACGGGAGAAAGCAGGGGACCUUCGGGCCUUGCGCUAUCAGAUGAGCCUAGGUCGGAUUAGCUAGUUGGUGAGGUAAUGGCUCACCAAGGCGACGAUCCGUAACUGGUCUGAGAGGAUGAUCAGUCACACUGGAACUGAGACACGGUCCAGACUCCUACGGGAGGCAGCAGUGGGGAAUAUUGGACAAUGGGCGAAAGCCUGAUCCAGCCAUGCCGCGUGUGCGAAGAAGGUCUUCGGAUUGUAAAGCACUUUAAGUUGGGAGGAUGGGCAGUAAGUUAAUACCUUGCUGUUUUGACGUUACCGACAGAAUAAGCACCGGCUAACUUCGUGCCAGCAGCCGCGGUAAUACGAAGGGUGCAAGCGUUAAUCGGAAUUACUGGGCGUAAAGCGCGCGUAGGUGGUUCGUUAAGUUGGAUGUGAAAGCCCCGGGCUCAACCUGGGAACUGCAUCCAAAACUGGCGAGCUAGAGUACGGUAGAGGGUGGUGGAAUUUCCUGUGUAGCGGUGAAAUGCGUAGAUAUAGGAAGGAACACCAGUGGCGAAGGCGACCACCUGGACUGAUACUGACACUGAGGUGCGAAAGCGUGGGGAGCAAACAAGAUUAGAUACCCUGGUAGUCCACGCCGUAAACGAUGUCAACUAGCCGUUGGAAUCCUUGAGAUUUUAGUGGCGCAGCUAACGCAUUAAGUUGACCGCCUGGGGAGUACGGCCGCAAGGUUAAAACUCAAAUGAAUUGACGGGGGCCCGCACAAGCGGUGGAGCAUGUGGUUUAAUUCGAAGCAACGCGAAGAACCUUACCUGGCCUUGACAUGCUGAGAACUUUCCAGAGAUGGAUUGGUGCCUUCGGGAACUCAGACACAGGUGCUGCAUGGCUGUCGUCAGCUCGUGUCGUGAGAUGUUGGGUUAAGUCCCGUAACGAGCGCAACCCUUGUCCUUAGUUACCAGCACGUUAUGGUGGGCACUCUAAGGAGACUGCCGGUGACAAACCGGAGGAAGGUGGGGAUGACGUCAAGUCAUCAUGGCCCUUACGGCCAGGGCUACACACGUGCUACAAUGGUCGGUACAAAGGGUUGCCAAGCCGCGAGGUGGAGCUAAUCCCAUAAAACCGAUCGUAGUCCGGAUCGCAGUCUGCAACUCGACUGCGUGAAGUCGGAAUCGCUAGUAAUCGUGAAUCAGAAUGUCACGGUGAAUACGUUCCCGGGCCUUGUACACACCGCCCGUCACACCAUGGGAGUGGGUUGCUCCAGAAGUAGCUAGUCUAACCUUCGGGGGGACGGUUACCACGGAGUGAUUCAUGACUGGGGUGAAGUCGUAACAAGGUAACCGUAAU
RNAcentral lists this ribosomal RNA (1503 nucleotides) under Pseudomonas sp. Its description in RNAcentral is "bacterial SSU rRNA". It matches the Rfam family "Bacterial small subunit ribosomal RNA". The record is from RNAcentral. Lineage: Bacteria; Pseudomonadati; Pseudomonadota; Gammaproteobacteria; Pseudomonadales; Pseudomonadaceae.